Molecule: ribosomal RNA, 506 nt
Filed under: uncultured bacterium
Lineage: Bacteria
Description: partial 16S ribosomal RNA
Rfam family: Bacterial small subunit ribosomal RNA
Source: RNAcentral
AGUGAACGCUGGCGGUAGGCCUAACACAUGCAAGUCGAACGGCAGCACAGGAGAGCUUGCUCUCUGGGUGGCGAGUGGCGGACGGGUGAGGAAUACAUCGGAAUCUACCUUUUCGUGGGGGAUAACGUAGGGAAACUUACGCUAAUACCACAUACGACCUUCGGGUGAAAGCAGGGGACCUUCGGGCCUUGCGGGGGGAGAUGAGCCGAUGUCGGAUUAGCUAGUUGGCGGGGUAAAGGCCCACGAAGGCGACGAUCCGUAGCUGGUCUGAGAGGAUGAUCAGCCACACUGGAACUGAGACACGGUCCAGACUCCUACGGGAGGCAGCAGUGGGGAAUAUUGGACAAUGGGCGCAAGCCUGAUCCAGCCAUACCGCGAGGGUGAAGAAGGCCUUCGGGCUGUAAAGCCCUUUUGUUGGGAAAGAAAAGCAGCCAGUUAAUACCUGGUUGUUCUGACGGUACCCAAAGAAUAAGCACCGGCUAACUUCGUGCCAGCCGCCGCCGUAA